RNAcentral lists this transfer RNA (55 nucleotides) under Quedius mesomelinus. RNAcentral describes it as "tRNA-Leu". Lineage: Eukaryota; Metazoa; Arthropoda; Insecta; Coleoptera; Staphylinidae. The record is from RNAcentral.
GUUAUUUUGGCAGAUUAGUGCAUUAAAUUUAGAAUUUAAUUAUGUAUAUUUAUAC